GCUGGGCACCGUGGCUUGUGUCUGUAAUCCAAGUGUCUGGGAAGCUGAGGCUGGUGGAUUGCUUGAGCCCAGGAGUUCAAGGCUGCAGCGGGCUGUGUCGCGCAGGUGUCCGCACUGGGGUCUGCACCGACAUGGGGCCUCUGAGGAAGCUUGGAGGCUCCAGGUUGUCUAAGGAGGGGUGAACCGGCCCAGGCUGGGAACAGAGCAGGUCAAAGCUCCCUUGCUGACUGGUAGUGGGACAGCACCUGUAAAUGGCUCCUGUAGCCCAACCUGGGCAAGAGAGGGGGACCCAGCCUUUU
RNAcentral lists this signal recognition particle RNA (299 nucleotides) under Alligator sinensis (Chinese alligator). RNAcentral describes it as "Metazoan signal recognition particle RNA". It matches the Rfam family "Metazoan signal recognition particle RNA". From Rfam's summary of the family: The signal recognition particle (SRP) is a universally conserved ribonucleoprotein. It is involved in the co-translational targeting of proteins to membranes. The eukaryotic SRP consists of a 300-nucleotide 7S RNA and six proteins: SRPs 72, 68, 54, 19, 14, and 9. The record is from Rfam by way of RNAcentral. Lineage: Eukaryota; Metazoa; Chordata; Crocodylia; Alligatoridae.